Molecule: ribosomal RNA, 459 nt
Filed under: uncultured bacterium
Lineage: Bacteria
Description: partial 16S ribosomal RNA
Rfam family: Bacterial small subunit ribosomal RNA
Source: RNAcentral
CCUACGGGUGGCAGCAGUGAGGAAUAUUGGUCAAUGGGCGGGAGCCUGAACCAGCCAAGUCGCGUGAAGGAAGAAGGUACUUAGUAUUGUAAACUUCUUUUGUCGGGGAACAAAGGCGGAGACGCGUCUCCGGAUGAGUGUACCCGAAGAAAAAGCAUCGGCUAACUCCGUGCAAGCGGCCGCGGUAAUACGGAGGAUGCGAGGGUUAUCAGGAUUUGUUGGGGUUAAAGGGUGCGCAGGGGGGAGAUCAAGUCAGUGGGAAAAGGUCGGGGCUCAACCCCGGCCGGCCGUGGAAACUGGUUGUCUAGAGUUGGAGAGAAGUAUGCGGAAAUCGUGGUGUAGCGGUGAAAUGCAUAGAUAUCACGAAGAACUCCGAUGGCGAAGGCAGCAUACCGGCUCCAUACUGACGCUGAGGCACGAAAGCGUGGGGAUCGAACAGGAUUAGAUACCCCAGUAGUC